CUAGCUGGCCGGACGGCCGCUGCCGGAUUGCGGGCGUCUGUGGCCCAUCGAGCAAAUCCGGUGGAGGAAAGUCCGGGCUCCAUGGAGACACGGUGGCGGCUAACGGCCACCGGGGGCGACCCCAGGGACAGUGCCACUGAAAGCAAACCGCCUGCGGUUCGCCGCAGGUAAGGGUGAAAGGGUGCGGUAAGAGCGCACCGCGCGGCCGGCGACGGUCGUGGCA
This 223-nucleotide RNase P RNA is filed under the name Hyphomicrobium sp. RNAcentral describes it as "Bacterial RNase P class A". It matches the Rfam family "Bacterial RNase P class A", at positions 1 to 203 of the family's 367-position model. Rfam says of the family: Ribonuclease P (RNase P) is a ubiquitous endoribonuclease, found in archaea, bacteria and eukarya as well as chloroplasts and mitochondria. Lineage: Bacteria; Pseudomonadati; Pseudomonadota; Alphaproteobacteria; Hyphomicrobiales; Hyphomicrobiaceae. The record is from Rfam by way of RNAcentral.